This is a regulatory RNA element of Gracilibacillus kekensis, 103 nucleotides long. It matches the Rfam family "Purine riboswitch aptamer". From Rfam's summary of the family: Riboswitches are metabolite binding domains within certain messenger RNAs that serve as precision sensors for their corresponding targets. Allosteric rearrangement of mRNA structure is mediated by ligand binding, and this results in modulation of gene expression. NCBI's taxonomy places the organism in Bacteria, Bacillati, Bacillota, Bacilli, Caryophanales, Bacillaceae. The record is from Rfam.
AAAUUAAUAAUAACCAUUCGUCGUAUAAUGUUGGGGAUAUGGCCCAAGAGUUUCUACCGAAGCACCGAAAUUUGCUUCGACUACGAGGAGGAUGAAAGUUACU